RNAcentral lists this long non-coding RNA (408 nucleotides) under Monodelphis domestica (gray short-tailed opossum). Its description in RNAcentral is "lncRNA (ENSMODG00000043751.1)". The record is from RNAcentral. Lineage: Eukaryota; Metazoa; Chordata; Mammalia; Didelphimorphia; Didelphidae.
GUCCGCUCCCAUAGCGGCCGUGGGAACUCAGCGGCACAGAUGUUUCUGCCCCUUGUACAAAUGAGGAAGCUGGGGUUCACACUGCUUCGACAGGCUCAACUGUGCCCAAAACUAGAGAGGAAUCAUCCACAAAAGAGUGCGGCGGCCAAGACUUCGGAAACGCGGCUGGGCUGCUGAGUGCUGCUCCAACAGGGAUCUACCAAUGGACAGUAAAAUAUCACUGAAAUUACCUUGGCAAACCUAUGGCAUGCUUGCCAGAGGGAGCUUCUUCCCUCCCUCCCCCUCUCCACUGAGCCUGAGGACAGUUCUCUCAUCACCUGCCCUUCUGCCCAGAAGCCCAAUGGGAGAUCUUCCUCCCUCCCUUGUCUGAGGUAAGGGGGUGGCUCACACGCAUGUGAGGGUGGAGCU